Molecule: long non-coding RNA, 219 nt
Organism: Oncorhynchus tshawytscha (Chinook salmon)
Lineage: Eukaryota; Metazoa; Chordata; Actinopteri; Salmoniformes; Salmonidae
Exons: 3
Source: RefSeq, a predicted model, not a curated record
AGCCCAUGCAAAAAUGACCCAGUCUAAAGGAAUAGAAUUCACAGGGCAGUGUGUUACAUCCUCCAGGAGAGGUCACAGAGGUCAAGAACACCCAGUCAGGUAGAGGUAUCCUCCAGGAGAGGUCACAGAGGUCAGGAACAGCCAGUCAGGUAGAGGUAUCCUCCAGGAGAGGUCACAGAGGUCAGGAACAGCCAGUCAGGUAGAGGUAUCCUCCAGGAG